This is a long non-coding RNA of Acanthaster planci (crown-of-thorns starfish), 5056 nucleotides long. NCBI's taxonomy places the organism in Eukaryota, Metazoa, Echinodermata, Asteroidea, Valvatida, Acanthasteridae. The record is from RefSeq and is a predicted model, not a curated record.
UAAUGUUCUCUUAUAUCCCAGGUUGAAAGAGGAAAGCUGCAACAGAUUGGCAACAAAUCCAACUUUUUCUCCAUUAUCAGAGAUGGAACAACAGACCAUUCAAUCACAGUGGCAGAGAUUAUCUACUGUUAGUUCAGUAUUGAUGGGAAGGCCCUCACACACUUUGUUAAGAACGCGGCUUCAGCAACGGCACCCUCCAUCUAAUCUGCAGUGAUGGAUUGUUUGGAAGAGUGACUUGGAAUCACUUUCCCCAUUCUUGAGAAGAAGUUGAUGGGGUUUGGUUCUGGUGGAGCAUCGGUAAUGCUUGGCCGAAACAACGGUGUCACUAAACUACUGAGGGAUGACUUCCCAAGCAUGCAGGCAGUGCACUGUACUUCCCAUCGACUAGAGUUGGCCUACAUGUACAAGGAUGCUGUGAAGCAAGUAACAAUUUGUAAUACUCUGAAUACCCUCCUCCUCAAUCUGCAAUUGUUCUACAAACACAGUUCAAAGAAUAGGAGUGGCCUCCAACUUACAGCUGAGUCUUGCAAUUUAUCUACAGUUGUCCCUACUCGGGUUGGAGUAAUAAGGUGGCUUGCCCAUCUUCAAAAGGCUCUACAACACUUGAUGAAUGGCUACAAACCACUCAUGAUGUACCUACAUCAGGUAUCAUCAAAGUCUUUAAUUUAGUCCACUUGGUAAAAAAUUUGAAAAAGUGUCUUGACAUUAGUGAUCUAACGAUCUUUUUUCAAUGGAUUCACAAAAACAUCUAUGCAUAUCCAAGAAGUGUUCAUAAAUAACCUAAUCACAAAGCAACACAUUACCAAAUCGAGGUUCAGUCAGGAGUCACUGUAGAUGCACUGGCUAAGGCAAGGAAUUUCCGGAAACAGCUGCUGAGGAAAGACAUUGUCAAGGUCCUUCACUUCAUGCUUGACGUAAGUUCCCCCUCUCCACACUGAAGAUGGAUCCAACGGAGCGGCAGGGCCGAUACAGGUUGGUGCCAGCAGUAUUCGCAGAAGUUGCCAGAACGUUACUGAGAGCAGCAGGGGACCGCCUUGGGGACUCCGGCCGUGGAUUUAUUAUCAGGGUUUACUCCCUUAGCCUUUCCCUUUUAAUAAGUGGGUAGAGCCGCAAGGCAGCGGAGGUUUGAAAUCAGAGUUUUCCUUUUCCUAGAUGAGCUGCCACCCAAGAUUGACGAGCCUCAUCUGCCCGAAGCGACGGGUUUUGAGGUGUCAGUGGACCGCAUUUCACCCCUUCUCCUGUUAGUAGAAACAGUUCUGCUGGGUUUAGAGACUAAACCACGUGAAUGCCAGGAGCUGGACUUGGUUGUCAGAGGCUGUUGGAGAUGCAUGCCAUUGGGAGCAUUUUAUACGGAGUGGGAGCUUAUCCCCACUACCACCCCCGCCUUGACAACCUUGGAACCAGUCCAGGCUGUUAGAAAAGCUACUAAAAGAAUAAUGGAACGUAGGGUUACAAGGAUACGACUUGACCUGUUUACGAGCUGACAUGUGUACGAGUUGACCACUUUCAACUUUAAAGCCUGCAAUAUUUUAUCCCUUGCUUUCUCUUUUUUAACUUUCAUUUCAAGGUAUGUGUAGGCCUACCAUAUAUGCCAUACCUACCGUCAUCUGCUCUUGAACACCAUGAAAACAAGAAGUACAGCUCAUACAGCUUCAUCCGCAGUGACGAGGAGUAAGACCAAGAUGAAAAUGAAACUAAAUCUACAUUCCCUUCUGUCAUCUGCAAAUGAAAUCCGAGAGCGUCCUCAUCUAAAACCCCCGCAAUCAUGAGGUACCUUGAAGUUGAGGAGGUACCGGCUCCGUAUACAAGCAGACCCCAAAAAACGUGAAGUUGCGUGGCAAGACAAAAUAAGUAUGCAAUGCAGAUUGCUCAUGACUGAAGAACAGAAACUGAGGAAUAGGGAACUAAGCAAAACACGAAUGAGGCGCUUCAGGGAGAAGAAAAAAGUUGCUGCAGUCACACAGCCUGUUUCGUUUUCACAGAGCUGUAAAGAGAAUGAGCAGCCUUAGGUGACGACUUGUGCUGCCAAAGAAAAACAUCAUAAAGUGCUUGAAGAGCAACAACAGAAGAAGAGAGAAGCUAAACAGAGAGAGCGGGCCAAAAUGUCAGCAUAUAAAAAAAGAUGGAUGAGGGAGAAAAACAGGAUAAGAAUGCAGAAGAAAAAAAAGAGAGAGACAGAAGAACAGAAUCGCAACAAAAAGUCAGCGCCAUCAGAGAAAAGCAGUGAGCCAUCCUCAUCUAAAGCUGCCACAGUACUUGAGAGCAUCUGCAAGUGCCGAAAAGAAACGCAAAAGGACCUGCAUAAGACACACACAGCAUGUAAAAUCUGAGAACAAAAUUUUCUCUGGAGCUUCAAGUCUAAAACAUCCAAGAAGUACAGAUUGAAAUGCAGCAUUGCCAGGCGCAUUGGGGUAUGGUACAAAACGCUGUUGAAAUAUUCAACUCCCCGUCACUACCCUUGUCAAAGCAAAUGCGAGAGUGAUGCCAUGCCAUGUCAUGUAGAGGACAACAACAAGGACUUUAUAUAAGCCUGGAUGUGAACUCCUGUCUGCCACCCAAAAGUUUUUUUGGAAAACCUUACUGCCAAAGUAUGUGAUAUAAUCCAGUGUGUCUGCUGCUUGCCCUGCAAAACUUGCCCUGACGAAAUUUGCACAGCUGAGACCUGGCAAUGUUUUGACUCAAAAACACACUAGGCAGAAUCAGUGCUUAUGCAAAUAGUGCACAAAUAUCGAGUUGGAGCUCAAAGCCAUCAAUCAGUGUGCAAUGAAGCAUAACCAGCCCAAGGUGAAAAUCCCCAAUAAGUACCAUGCAAUAAACUUAACAUGCUGCCCAAAGGAAAACACAGCAGAAUUCUUCAAGAAACACUGUGUUCUCCACUAGUGCAAAGAUUGUGGUAUCAAUGGCCUGGAGCUCACCUGUGUGCUCUAACUCAAAAUCAUGGCCAAGAAAACUUGAAUGGAUGAAGUGGAAAUUGGUGGAUGAUACCGGAAAAGGUAAGCGGAUGGCUCUGACAUCAGAAAGGGGUAGUCUUGAUGAUCUUGUGACAAGGUUGAUGGAGAAGAUGGGGCCAUUCGCUCAACACAUGUUCACUGCACAGUGGCAACACCUUCAGUACAAAGCAAUAACAAGCAAAAUACCGGCAAACACAAUAAUCUGUGUGUUGGAUUUUGCAGAAAACGUCACGUCUGCAUCAAAACAAAUUGCAAGGAGCUUACUGGUGUAAAAACCAAGUAACGGUCCAUGCUAUUACCACUGAGUACACCUGUCCUGGUGAUGGAGGAUCUGUGAGUGAAUGUAUCAACAUCCUGUCAGCUGACACAAAGCACGACAGCGACGCCGUUUCUGCAUUCAUGACAGAAGCAUAUCACCACCUCACACAAGUCAGAAAGCUCCCUGUGGUAAGAGUAGUUCACUGAUGGCUGUUCCAGUCAAUAUAAGUCCAAGAUACCAUUCGUUGACCUGUCCUUUUUGUAAAGAAGACUUUGGGUUUCAUGUGGAGCGUCACGUUUUUGGAUCCCAUCAUGGAAAAGGACUGUGUGAUGGGAAAGGGAGCAUUGUAAAGAAGGCAGUAGAGAGGGCAGUGAAGAGUGGCCAGUGUGUGGUACUUGAUGCGGAAUCCAUGCUUGCAUUUUGUGAGAAAAACCUGUCCAAACCAGCACAAGGAGAUAGCAGGUCCUAACAGGCACUAGAAAACUUCACGCUGUGGCUGGUCUCACACCAGGCAAAGUAAAAGUGAGAGAUCUGUCAUGCCUCUGCAGUGGGUGUGAAAACGGGGAAUCAUGCACAAACAAGGACUACACAACUGGCUGGAGUUCAAGAAUGUGAAGGCUGGGGAAAUAGAUGUGGCAGGAGGAUCUGCAGGGCAGGAAGAUCAGGACAAACACCAGGACGAACACCUUGAAAUAGAUAAGGAAGAACAACACCCCAUACUGCUGAUGCCACUGACCAAGGUAGAGAGUUUACCUUUUAUGAAGGUGGAUAUGUGCUGUGCCAGCUUCAGUGAAAUAAAACCUUUGAAAAGUACGUUGCUCAGGUUCUUGCAGUAAAUGGCGACAUGUUGAGAGUGAAGUACAUGAAGGAGGUCGCUCCCCACCAAGUUGUGUGGCCAGAUAAAGAUGACAUCUAGGCUCUUCCUGUUGAAGAUGUCAUUCGUCCACUACAAGUAGCACCUUCCUACACUACAGUUUUAGGGCUUUGAGCCAAACAGAGGAGUGAAUGUGACCAGAUUGUGAUCAGAACUGGACACUACCCGUUGAGAACUGGACACUAACUUUGAAAAUGCUGUUUUCACUCUGCAGUUUGUGCAUAUGUACUAACUGCAAGCAGUACCCACAUUUUAAAACGUUCUCUUGGACAUGUUUUCAGAAAACUUUUGAAAGAUUAUUUAACAUGUUUCCAGUCUGGUUGUGGACAGUGUUGUAGGUCUCAAGACCUGGGUUCGGUCUCGAGACCGUCUCAAGACCUUUUUUUGCGGUCUCGGUCUCGCCCUGUCAAAGUCUUGGUCUCAGGAGGGUCUGACUCCGUCUCGAAAGUGCCGGUCUCAGUCUUGGUCUCGGAUGCCAUAGUCUCGGGUCUCCCCCUCGAGACCAGGUGAGACCAUAACAAAAUGCACAUUUAGCUACCACGCAUGCAUGCGGUUGCAAAAGGCAAAAUUACCUCCACUUGAGUCCACUCUUUAGCCACUGAUAUAAAUACAACACAGUAAUGUUCAGAUUGUGUGCAAUAAACAAUGAAAUUGAUGCUGGAAUGAAGAAUAGUCAAUGCAGCAUGAUGCAACCUUGUCCCAGUCCAAUCCAGGGUAGCCAUGCAGCUUGACACCAUGGAGAUGAGGUUGUGAGUAGCGGAAUUCACACUCUAGACUGGUUCCCGUUCCCUACGUAGUCUCCAGCUGAAUGUAGGGCUGGGACGGGAACCAGUCUGUGUGUGUGCGCACGCUACAAAUUGUGUGCAUGUGUGAAAGUGCUUUCAUUCUGUCUUGUAUGGGUACGUCUUGUUUUAGUUGUUUCGUUACAGUACAUUUUGGGGGGAUUUUUUUUUUUCAGUAUUUUGCUUACAA